CGUUUGAGAUGAGCAGGACUCUGUGUCAGGGUGCUGAUGUGGGAAUGAGGGGCUAUUUCUUCCCCCUGGGGCCAUCAUCCAUGUGUCACCCCCUUCUCCUGAACUUCUGUCUGCCUAGAUAGAUAGAUAACAAAGCUCCUACUAUGUGUGCUAGGCACUGGGCAUAAAAAAAAGGGAGGGGGAAGAAUGCAGUUCUUACCCUUAAGAAACUUAAACUUAAGGGGUGGGUGGGAGGGUAUAGCCUCUAAAGGGAAGCUAGAAGGGUAGGGAGAGAGGGGAGGUACCCAUGGGGGCAAGGCAUUGAUCAUGUAGGCAAAAAGCAGUCUGACAGCACCUCGAAUCCCACCUGUCCUUGGGCUGCCGUCUCCAGGGACCUUUCUUCUGGGUGUCACCCCCACUCCCGUCCUCUGUCAGCACUCCGUCUCCUCUCCUGGCAGGACUGUUCCACAACCUUCCUGGCAGGGUGGGGAGUAGCUGCCGCCACAGUCCUGGGACUUUGCACUGAAGCAAGAAGAUGGACAUCUUCCUCUUGUCUAAAGUCAGGAGUCGCCACACUGGUGCUUCCCCACAUGGAACCCGCCCUUAGGAGGCAGCCCUGGCCCUGCUUCUGGAGCUCUUGGAGCAAACUCCGGAGGCCAGCGGAGGGGCAUUGCCCAGGGCAUCCUCUUCACGGCUGCCUUUGCAUGUCCAGCACUCAGCUCGGUGCCCAGCCCGGGGAGCUUCUUGAGAAAUGCCUUUUGUAAUUGUUACAUCAUGAAACCUACUUGGGUUUUCUUGGCAAAUGGAGCAGCUUGCCAUUUCUUUCUCAAGCUCAUUUGACAGAUGAGGAAACUGAGGCAGAGUUAAAUGACUUGCCCAGGGUCACAAGUUAGUGUCUGAGGUCACGUUGGAACUUGGGUCUUUCUGAUUCCAGGCCUGGUGUUUUAUCACUGUGCUACCUAACGCCCCUUAUAAAGGCUAAUUAAGCCUCACAAGACACAACUUAGAGACAAUGUCCUCCUUCUUCUCAUGACCUCCUAAAUGCCA
Molecule: long non-coding RNA, 1026 nt
Filed under: Monodelphis domestica (gray short-tailed opossum)
Lineage: Eukaryota; Metazoa; Chordata; Mammalia; Didelphimorphia; Didelphidae
Description: lncRNA (ENSMODG00000040295.1)
Source: RNAcentral